Molecule: ribosomal RNA, 468 nt
Filed under: uncultured bacterium
Lineage: Bacteria
Description: partial 16S ribosomal RNA
Rfam family: Bacterial small subunit ribosomal RNA
Source: RNAcentral
GACGAACGCUGGCGGCGUGCUUAACACAUGCAAGUCGAACGGAAAGGCCCUGCUUUUGUGGGGUGCUCGAGUGGCGAACGGGUGAGUAACACGUGAGUAACCUGCCCUUGACUUUGGGAUAACUUCAGGAAACUGGGGCUAAUACCGGAUAGGAGCUCCUGCUGCAUGGUGGGGGUUGGAAAGUUUCGGCGGUUGGGGAUGGACUCGCGGCUUAUCAGCUUGUUGGUGGGGUAGUGGCUUACCAAGGCCUUGACGGGUAGCCGGCCUGAGAGGGUGACCGGCCACAUUGGGACGGAGAUACGGCCCAGACUCCUACGGGAGGCAGCGGUGGGGAAUAUUGCACAAUGGGCGGAAGCCUGAUGCAGCAACGCCGCGUGCGGGAUGACGGCCUUCGGGUUGUAAACCGCUUUCGCCUGUGACGAAGCGUGAGUGACGGUAAUGGGUAAAGAAGCACCGGCUAACUACGUG